This 253-nucleotide ribosomal RNA is filed under the name uncultured bacterium. RNAcentral's name for it is "partial 16S ribosomal RNA". It matches the Rfam family "Bacterial small subunit ribosomal RNA", at positions 524 to 776 of the family's 1533-position model. The record is from RNAcentral.
GACAGAGGGUGCAAACGUUGUUCGGAUUUACUGGGCGUAAAGCGCGUGUAGGCGGCUUUGCAAGUCGGAUGUGAAAGCCCACGGCUCAACCGUGGAAGUGCAUCCGGAACUGCAUGGCUGGAGUCCCGGAGAGGAAGGUGGAAUGCUUGGUGUAGAGGUGAAAUUCGUAGAUAUUAGGAAGAACACCGGUGGCGAAGGCGGCCCACUGGCUCGAUACUGACGCUGAGGUGCGAAAGCGUGGGGAGCAAACAGG